Molecule: long non-coding RNA, 659 nt
Filed under: Nicotiana benthamiana
Lineage: Eukaryota; Viridiplantae; Streptophyta; Magnoliopsida; Solanales; Solanaceae
Description: long non-coding RNA (NBEN_LNC003822)
Source: RNAcentral
CCCUCUCCUUCUUCUUUUAUCAAGAGUUAACUCAACAUAAACCCUAGGAUAUAAUAUAAGAAGACAACACAAGGAAAAGGGGCCAGCCAAACUCCAGCAGCCAUCGCCACCCUCUAAAACCUGCCGGAGACCGCCCCAACUCAAAGACGAGCUCCAUCAACAACCCAGUCCUCCUUCAACGACCACUUAUUCCAUCUCCCGCAAUUGAGCAGAAACACACACAAAGCGUCAUAAACAGGGGAGCAGAAAAUGGACAGAAGCUUUAGGGACUGAAAUUUGGACAGAAAUUUGGGGGUUGUUGGCCAUAAAAGAGCCGAGUGGUUGUUCGAACCUUCGUUGCCGUCGUGGUUUUUUAUCCGGUCAGUGGUCUUUGCUCGAUUUUGUUGCUGCUUUUUUCUUUCUUCAUCACCUUCCUUUCGAGCUAUCGUCGCAUUGUAAUUUUUGAAAAUUUGAAUAUACCGGAAAGGAUUUCAGGUCCAUUUUCUUUCUCCCUAACUUAAUUUUGGUAUGAUUAUAAAUAUGUUAAGAUUUCGAAUGAGAUAUAGAGUAUAUUGCUUGGUUAUUUUAUGUGUUGUGGUUCGUCAUCGUUGUGCUACUACUGGUACCCAUCUUACAACUUCUUUCUUCAGUUCUUAUUUUUGUGUUUAAUGCCUUCUCGG